AUACUUACCUGGCAGGGGAGAUACCAUGAUCACGAAGGUGGUUUUCCCAGGGCGAGGCUUAUCCAUUGCACUCCGGAUGUGCUGACCCCUGCGAUUUCCCCAAAUGUGGGAAACUCGACUGCAUAAUUUGUGGUAGUGGGGGACUGC
RNAcentral lists this small nuclear RNA (147 nucleotides) under Bison bison bison. Its description in RNAcentral is "U1 spliceosomal RNA (ENSBBBG00000020453.1)". It matches the Rfam family "U1 spliceosomal RNA", at positions 1 to 149 of the family's 166-position model. From Rfam's summary of the family: U1 is a small nuclear RNA (snRNA) component of the spliceosome (involved in pre-mRNA splicing). Its 5' end forms complementary base pairs with the 5' splice junction, thus defining the 5' donor site of an intron. Lineage: Eukaryota; Metazoa; Chordata; Mammalia; Artiodactyla; Bovidae. The record is from RNAcentral.